AGAGUUUGAUCCUGGCUCAGAUUGAACGCUGGCGGCAUGCCUAACACAUGCAAGUCGAACGGAAACGAUGCUAGCUUGCUAGCAGGCGUCGAGUGGCGGACGGGUGAGUAAUGUAUAGGGAUCUGCCUAGUAGUGGGGGACAACAUGUGGAAACGCAUGCUAAUACCGCAUACGCUCUACGGAGGAAAGUGGGGGACCUUUCGGGGCCUCAUGCUACUAGAUGAACCUAUAUUGGAUUAGCUUGUUGGUAAGGUAAUGGCUUACCAAGGCGACGAUCCAUAGCUGGUUUGAGAGAAUGAUCAGCCACACUGGGACUGAGACACGGCCCAGACUCCUACGGGAGGCAGCAGUGGGGAAUAUUGCACAAUGGAGGAAACUCUGAUGCAGCAAUGCCGCGUGUGUGAAGAAGGCCUUAGGGUUGUAAAGCACUUUCAGACGUGAGGAAAAGUAAUAAUUUAAUAAAUUAUUACCUUGACGUUAACGUCAGAAGAAGGACCGGCUAACUCCGUGCCAGCAGCCGCGGUAAUACGGAGGGUCCAAGCGUUAAUCGGAAUUACUGGGCGUAAAGCGCGCGUAGGCGGAUAUUUAAGUCAGAUGUGAAAUCCCUGGGCUCAACCUAGGAACUGCAUUUGAUACUGGAUAUCUAGAGUAUGGUAGAGGUGAGUGGAAUUUCAGGUGUAGCGGUGAAAUGCGUAGAGAUCUGAAGGAACAUCAGUGGCGAAGGCGACUCACUGGGCCAUUACUGACGCUGAGGUGCGAAAGCGUGGGUAGCAAACAGGAUUAGAUACCCUGGUAGUCCACGCCCUAAACGAUGUCAACUAGGUGUAUGGGAGUUUAACUCCUGUGUAUCGAAGCUAACGCGAUAAGUUGACCGCCUGGGGAGUACGGUCGCAAGACUAAAACUCAAUGAAUUGACGGGGGCCCGCACAAGCGGUGGAGCAUGUGGUUUAAUUCGAUGCACGCGAAGAACCUUACCUGGUCUUGACAUGUAGUGACUUUC
This 1000-nucleotide ribosomal RNA is filed under the name uncultured bacterium. RNAcentral's name for it is "bacterial SSU rRNA". It matches the Rfam family "Bacterial small subunit ribosomal RNA", at positions 8 to 999 of the family's 1533-position model. The record is from RNAcentral.